RNAcentral lists this ribosomal RNA (301 nucleotides) under uncultured bacterium. RNAcentral's name for it is "partial 16S ribosomal RNA". It matches the Rfam family "Bacterial small subunit ribosomal RNA", at positions 509 to 807 of the family's 1533-position model. The record is from RNAcentral.
CAGCAGCCGCGGGAAUACGAGGGGGGCAAGCGUUGUUCGGAAUUAUUGGGCGUAAAGGGUGCGUAGGCGGUUUGGCAAGUUUGGUGUGAAAUCUUCGGGCUCAACUCGAAGUCUGCAUCGAAAACUGCCGGGCUUGAGUAUGGGAGAGGUGAGUGGAAUUUCCGGUGUAGCGGUGAAAUGCGUAGAUAUCGGAAGGAACACCAGUGGCGAAGGCGGCUUACUGGCCCGAUACUGACGCUGAGGUGCGAAAGCGUGGGGAGCAAACAGGAUUAGAUACCCGUGUAGUCCCUGUCUCUUAUAC